RNAcentral lists this transfer RNA (60 nucleotides) under Patella vulgata (common limpet). Its description in RNAcentral is "tRNA-Tyr". Lineage: Eukaryota; Metazoa; Mollusca; Gastropoda; Patellidae. The record is from RNAcentral.
GGGAUGGCUGAGAUAAGCAUUAGAUUGUAGCUCUAAUUACGGGAUAUUUUCUCCCUCUUA